GACGAGGGGUCCUAGCGUUGUUCGGAAUCAUUGGGCGUAAAGCGUGUGUAGGCUGCCAUUCAAGUCAGUUGUGAAAUCCCCGGGCUUAACCCGGGAAGUGCUUCUGAUACUGUUUGGCUUGAGUACUGGAGAGGAUAGUAGAAUUCCUGGUGUAGUGGUGAAAUACGUAGAUAUCAGGAGGAAUACCGGUGGCGAAGGCGGCUAUCUGGCCAAGUACUGACGCUGAGACACGAAAGCGUGGGGAGCAAACAGG
RNAcentral lists this ribosomal RNA (253 nucleotides) under uncultured bacterium. RNAcentral's name for it is "partial 16S ribosomal RNA". It matches the Rfam family "Bacterial small subunit ribosomal RNA", at positions 524 to 776 of the family's 1533-position model. The record is from RNAcentral.